AAGCGGGUGAAAAGCCCGCUCGCCGGAAGACCAAGGGUUCCUGUCCAACGUUAAUCGGGGCAGGGUGAGUCGACCCCUAAGGCGAGGCCGAAAGGCGUAGUCGAUGGGAAACGGGUUAAUAUUCCCGUACUUGGUGUUACUGCGAAGGGGGGACGGAGAAGGCUAUGUUGGCCGGGCGACGGUUGUCCCGGUUUAAGCGUGUAGGUGUGUGUUCCAGGUAAAUCCGGUUCACUUUAACACUGAGGCGUGACGACGAGGCACUACGGUGCUGAAGCAACAAAUGCCCUGCUUCCAGGAAAAGCCUCUAAGCAUCAGGUAACAUCAAAUCGUACCCCAAACCGACACAGGUGGUCAGGUAGAGAAUACCAAGGCGCUUGAGAGAACUCGGGUGAAGGAACUAGGCAAAAUGGUGCCGUAACUUCGGGAGAAGGCACGCUGACACGUAGGUGAAGUGAUUUACUCAUGGAGCUGAAGUCAGUCGAAGAUACCAGCUGGCUGCAACUGUUUAUUAAAAACACAGCACUGUGCAAACACGAAAGUGGACGUAUACGGUGUGACGCCUGCCCGGUGC
This 571-nucleotide ribosomal RNA is filed under the name Salmonella enterica. Its description in RNAcentral is "partial 23S ribosomal RNA". It matches the Rfam family "Bacterial large subunit ribosomal RNA", at positions 1315 to 1869 of the family's 2925-position model. The record is from RNAcentral. Lineage: Bacteria; Pseudomonadati; Pseudomonadota; Gammaproteobacteria; Enterobacterales; Enterobacteriaceae.